CAGGAUGAACGCUGGCGGUCUGCUUAACACAUGCAAGUCGAACGGGCUCUUCGGAGCUAGUGGCGGACGGGUGAGUAACGCGUGAGGAUCUGCCUUCAUGAGGGGGAUAACGACUGGAAACGGUCGCGAAUACCGCAUAUGCCUACGGGUGAAAGAUUAUUCGCCUGGAGAUGAACUCGCGUCAGAUUAGCUAGUUGGUGGGGUAAGAGCCUACCAAUGCGACGAUCUGUAGCUGGUCUGAGAGGAUGAUCAGUCACACUGGGACUGAAACACUGCCCAAACUCCUACGGGAGGCACCAGUGCGGAAUUUUCCGCCCUGGGCGCAAGCCUGACGGAGCAUGACCGCGUGCCGGAUGACGGCCUAAUGGUUGUAAACCGCUUAUCUCUGGGAAGAUCAUGACGGUACCCCAGGAAUCAGCCUCGGCUAACUCCGUGCCAGCAGCCGCGGUAAUACGGAGGAGGCAAGCGUCAUCCGGAAUUAUUGGGCGUAACGCGUCCGUAGGUCGUUAUUCAAGUCUGCUGUCUACAGCCUGGGGCUUAACUCCAUAGACGCAGUGGAAACUGGAUGACUUGAGUGCGGUAGGGGUCGAUGGAAUUCCCAGUGUCGCGGUGAUAUGCGUAGAUCUCGGGAAGAACAGCAGUGUGCCGAGAGCUCCUCUACUGGGCCUGCACUGACACUGAGUGGACGACAGCUAGGGGAGCGAACGGGAUUAGAUACCCCUGUAGUCCUA
This 731-nucleotide ribosomal RNA is filed under the name uncultured organism. RNAcentral's name for it is "bacterial SSU rRNA". It matches the Rfam family "Bacterial small subunit ribosomal RNA", at positions 25 to 798 of the family's 1533-position model. The record is from RNAcentral.